RNAcentral lists this long non-coding RNA (908 nucleotides) under Mus pahari (shrew mouse). Its description in RNAcentral is "lncRNA (MGP_PahariEiJ_G0002912.1)". Lineage: Eukaryota; Metazoa; Chordata; Mammalia; Rodentia; Muridae. The record is from RNAcentral.
GGGGUUUGGUGACCUGUGAUGGGGCCCCCACGAGCCUUCCUGGAAUCUCGAGUGACCCCAGCAUAGGAAGAGUAAGCACACAGGCAACAUGUCAAACAUCUACGUUUCAGAAAGAUAUUAUGAAGUCACUCUGGAUUCUGCAGCCUCCAGACUUAGAACCCUAGGUGGCCAUGAAAUUGUGAUCCUCCUGCCUCAGUUUCCCAAGAGCUGGGAUUACAGAAAUAAAAAUGGCUGGCUCCAAUUGUUAUGCUCCAGCAGCAUCACGUGGUAUUGAUAACUCCCCCCUCUCCCCUCCGCCCACCAUGGCUACUCCUGUGUUGUCCAGACAGAACCUAGUGAUGUCUCCUUUCUUUCUAGAAGCAGGAAAUUAGAAAUCUUUUAAGCGUAGGGGGAAAUACAGACAUAGGAAGAAAAGGUUCCAGGCACCAGGAAUCUCCAGGGAGCACAGACCUUAGCAUGAAACGUUUCUGUGGGAAAUGCUAUGACCUCAGCCCUGUCCCUUGACCACAAACUGAGGAGCAAACCCCACCUUGAGGCAGAUGGCCUGGCUUCUCCCUGUCUGUACUGGCUGGCUUUGUGUGUCCACUUGACACAAGCUAGAGUCACCAGAGAGGAAGGAGCCUCAGCUGAGGAAAUGUCUCCACGAGAUCCAGCUGUAAGGCACUUUCUCAAUUAGUGAUCAAGGGGGCAGGGCUCAGCCCAAGGUGGGUGGUGCCAUCCCUGGGCUAGUGGUCCUGGGUUCUAUAAGAAGGCUGACUGAGCAAGCCAGGGGAAGCAAGUGAGGAAGCAGUACCUCUCCAUGGUCUCUGCCUCCAGGUUCCUGCCCUGCUUGAGUUUCUGUCUUGACUUCCUUCAGUGAUGAACAGCAAUGUGGAAGACUAUAAGCUGAAUAAACCCUUUCCUCUCCA